RNAcentral lists this ribosomal RNA (254 nucleotides) under uncultured bacterium. RNAcentral's name for it is "partial 16S ribosomal RNA". It matches the Rfam family "Bacterial small subunit ribosomal RNA", at positions 524 to 776 of the family's 1533-position model. The record is from RNAcentral.
UACGAAGGGGGCUAGCGUUGUUCGGAAUUACUGGGCGUAAAGCGCACGUAGGCGGCUUUGUAAGUUAGAGGUGAAAGCCCGGGGCUCAACUCCGGAAUUGCCUUUAAGACUGCAUCGCUAGAAUUGUGGAGAGGUAAGUGGAAUUCCGAGUGUAGAGGUGAAAAUUCGUAGAUAUUCGGAAGAACACCAGUGGCGAAGGCGACUUACUGGACACAUAUUGACGCUGAGGUGCGAAAGCGUGGGGAGCAAACAGG